This 433-nucleotide ribosomal RNA is filed under the name uncultured bacterium. RNAcentral describes it as "partial 16S ribosomal RNA". It matches the Rfam family "Bacterial small subunit ribosomal RNA", at positions 29 to 507 of the family's 1533-position model. The record is from RNAcentral.
AACGAACGCUGGCGGCAUGCCUAACACAUGCAAGUCGAACGAGACCUUCGGGUCUAGUGGCGCACGGGUGCGUAACGCGUGGGAACCUGCCCUUAGGUUCGGAAUAACUCCCCGAAAGGGGUGCUAAUACCGGAUAAUGUCUUCGGACCAAAGAUUUAUCGCCUUUGGAUGGGCCCGCGUUGGAUUAGCUAGUUGGUAGGGUAAAAGCCUACCAAGGCGACGAUCCAUAGCUGGUCUGAGAGGAUGAUCAGCCACACUGGGACUGAGACACGGCCCAGACUGCUACGGGAGGCAGCAGUGGGGAAUAUUGGACCAUGGGCGAAAGCCUGAUCCAGCAAUGCCGCGUGAGUGAUGAAGGCCGUAGGGUUGUAAAGCUCUUUUACCCGGGAUGAUAAUGACAGUACCGGGAGAAUAAGCUCCGGCUAACUCCGUG